GACGAACGCUGUCCCCGCGCCUAAUGCAUGCCGUAAAUAGCUGAACAGACGACCUUGCUCUUCUUGGAUGAGUUCCAAACGGGUGAGUAACGCGUAUGUAACCUGACUGGUAUCGCGGGAUAACUAUGGGACUCGAUAUCUCAUACCUCGUGACAUUGCUGAUCCCAUGAUAAUUAGGUGAAAGAUGCAAUUGCAUCCCCACCAUAUGCACCUGCGUUGUAAUAGCUAGUUGGUGAGGUAACGCCUCAUGAAGGCGACGAUACAUAACCGACCUGAGCGGUUGAUGGGCCACUCUGGCACUGAUACACGGACCAGACUCCUACGGGAGGCAGCACGAUGUAAUCUUCCGCGAUGGGGGGAACCCUGUCUCUCUAACGCCGCGAGAGUGAAGACAGUUCUCGGAUCGCUUCGCUCUGUUGCAAGAAAAUAACGGGCGUGAUAGUGGGAAGGUCACGCCGUCACUUCAUCUUAUUAAAAAGGGACCGCUAACUACGUGCCAGCAGCCGCGGUAAUACGUAGGUCCCGAGCGUUGUCCGGAUUUAUUGGGCGUAAAGCGAGCGCAGGCGGUUAGAUAAGUCUGAAGUUAAGGCUGUGGCUUAACCAUAGUAUGCUUUGGAAACUGUUUAACUUGAGUGCAGAAGGGGAGAGUGGAAUUCCAUGUGUAGCGGUGAAAUGCGUAGAUAUAUGGAGGAACACCGGUGGCGAAAGCGGCUCUCUGGUCUGUAACUGACGCUGAGGCUCGAAAGCGUGGGGAGCAAACAGGAUUAGAUACCCUGGUAGUCCACGCCGUAAACGAUGAGUGCUAGGUGUUAGGCCCUUUCCGGGGCUUAGUGCCGCAGCUAACGCAUUAAGCACUCCGCCUGGGGAGUACGACCGCAAGGUUGAAACUCAAAGGAAUUGACGGGGGCCCGCACAAGCGGUGGAGCAUGUGGUUUAAUUCGAAGCAACGCGAAGAACCUUACCAGGUCUUGACAUCCCUCUGACCGCUCUAGAGAUAGAGUUUUCCUUCGGGACAGAGGUGACAGGUGGUGCAUGGUUGUCGUCAGCUCGUGUCGUGAGAUGUUGGGUUAAGUCCCGCAACGAGCGCAACCCCUAUUGUUAGUUGCCAUCAUUGAGUUGGGCACUCUAGCGAGACUGCCGGUAAUAAACCGGAGGAAGGUGGGGAUGACGUCAAAUCAUCAUGCCCCUUAUGACCUGGGCUACACACGUGCUACAAUGGCUGGUACAACGAGUCGCAAGCCGGUGACGGCAAGCUAAUCUCUGAAAGCCAGUCUCAGUUCGGAUUGUAGGCUGCAACUCGCCUACAUGAAGUCGGAAUCGCUAGUAAUCGCGGAUCAGCACGCCGCGGUGAAUACGUUCCCGGGCCU
This 1367-nucleotide ribosomal RNA is filed under the name uncultured bacterium. RNAcentral describes it as "partial 16S ribosomal RNA". It matches the Rfam family "Bacterial small subunit ribosomal RNA", at positions 28 to 1381 of the family's 1533-position model. The record is from RNAcentral.